RNAcentral lists this ribosomal RNA (491 nucleotides) under uncultured bacterium. RNAcentral's name for it is "partial 16S ribosomal RNA". It matches the Rfam family "Bacterial small subunit ribosomal RNA", at positions 29 to 506 of the family's 1533-position model. The record is from RNAcentral.
AUUGAACGCUGGCGGCAUGCUUUACACAUGCAAGUCGAACGGUAACAGGCCUUCGGGUGCUGACGAGUGGCGAACGGGUGAGUAAUGCAUCGGAACGUACCCAGAGGUGGGGGAUAACGCAGCGAAAGCUGUGCUAAUACCGCAUGUGAUCUGAGGAUGAAAGCGGGGGACCGAGCAGCAAUGUUUGGCCUCGCGCCUUUGGAGCGGCCGAUGUCGGAUUAGCUAGUUGGUGGGGUAAAGGCCUACCAAGGCGACGAUCCGUAGCUGGUCUGAGAGGACGACCAGCCACACUGGGACUGAGACACGGCCCAGACUCCGACGGGAGGCAGCAGUGGGGAAUUUUGGACAAUGGGCGCGAGCCUGAUCCAGCAAUGCCGCGUGCGGGAAGAAGGCCUUCGGGUUGUAAACCGCUUUUGGCAGGAACGAAACGGUGUCCGCUAAUACCGGGCGCUAAUGACGGUACCUGCAGAAUAAGCACCGGCUAACUACGU